This 326-nucleotide ribosomal RNA is filed under the name uncultured bacterium. RNAcentral describes it as "bacterial SSU rRNA". It matches the Rfam family "Bacterial small subunit ribosomal RNA", at positions 1051 to 1378 of the family's 1533-position model. The record is from RNAcentral. RNAcentral also lists the same sequence under 1 other name.
GUCGUCAGCUCGUGUCGUGAGAUGUUAGGUUAAGUCCUGCAACGAGCGCAACCCCUACUUUUAGUUGCUAACAUUAAGUUGAGCACUCUAAAGGGACUGCUAAGGUUAACUUAGAGGAAGGUGGGGAUGACGUCAAAUCAUCAUGCCCUUUAUGCCUUGGGCAACACACGUGCUACAAUGGUCGGUACAAAGAGAAGCAAUACCGCGAGGAGGAGCAAAUCUUAAAAACCGAUCCCAGUUCGGAUUGCAGGCUGCAACUCGCCUGCAUGAAGCCGGAGUUGCUAGUAAUCGUGAAUCAGCAUGUCGCGGUGAAUACGUUCCCGGGA